CGUUUGUUUCCUUCAUGUAGAUUGCUGUGUGUGUCUUUUUCUUCAUAAUUCCCCUUAAUUCUGUGUGCUUUGAAUGACACUGUUGUUGUUACUGUUGUUUUAUAUCCAUUGUCACAUAAAACUCUUAUCAUUUAUUCUUCCAGGCCAGGGACUGUCCUUAUGGGUAGAGAUACACUAUCUGCAGGAAUUUAUUUUUUUACGUAUUUUUACUAGUUGAUGGGAAAGACAUUGGGAAAGACCUGGGCUGGAUUUGUGAUGAGCUGUGUUUACUGAGCAUGAUGAAGUAAAGCUCAACGUGAUUACUCUGAAGUCCAGCCUUACUGUCAGUCUAAGGACUCAGGAUACAAAUACUCAAAACAUAAAUUCUUAGACUCUAAAUUUCACAUGGUUUUUCCUAUCAGUACAGGUUAAGGAUAAUGGCGUGUUGUAGGUUUUUCCAGUGCAAUACAAGGAAGUUGGUUCUAGAUCCUUUAGUACAGUUAAUGUUUUGUAGAGUGUGUUCUAUGUUCACUGCAUUGGUAUGUCUCAUCUUUGGCAUGAUCUUGGCUCACCGCAACCUCCGCCUCUUGCAUUCAAGCACUUCUUGUCUCAGCCUCCAGAGUAGCUGGGAUUACAAGCAUGUGCCAACAUGCCCGGCUAAUUUUUGUAUGCUUUUGUGGAGACAGGCUUUGCCAUGUUUGCCAGGUUGGUCUCUAAGUGAUCCACCCGCCUCAGCCCCACAAAGUGCUGGGAUUACAUGCGUGAGCCACCGUACCCAGCCACACCUUUGCUUAUUUCUACUAUGCAUUUCAAGUGAUCAUUUCAAGAGAAUAAGUACUUAGGAGCUCCUAUGCUCUUUUUUUUUUUAACCCUGUUGCUUGCAUCACCCGGUUCCAACCCUAUAUGAAAGUUUCAUGAGCAUGUUUCUGUCACUGAGGCAGCUUCUCCAUUUGGCAUAUAAUUGAGAAAUUGCUAGUUUGUGGCUGAGACAUUGGUUUGAGAGGAGACGUAAUUUAUAUAUUUAGCAGAAUGCUUAAGUUACAUUUCCAGAGAUUAAUUUAAUUCUACUUUUAAUUAAGUUAACCCUUUGCUGUAUCUUUACAAGACGUAGGUGGAGAUUUAAUUUUGACUCUUAGAUUCAGUUAAGGUGAUGAAAUUGGCAUUAUAUAGUUUUUGAUGCUGAGCCCCACGGAGAUUAAAAGAUUUGCUAAACACCAUGCAAUUUUUGAAUCACAUCUCUAAUCUCACAUUAUUCUGUACUCUAUUUUUUGCUUGUAUGAUUGAUGGGUCUUUCAUUAUCUGUGAUUGACAUUCUAUGAGUAGGUGCUUUUGCUUUGCCUAUAAGUCGUUAUUAUGAAGGAGGAAUGGUGAAUAAGAAGGUAAUUUAGAAAAGCCUAUAUUAAAUAUACCAUGAACAUUGAAUAUAGCAAGAUCUUAUUCUCUAGUUGUUAUCUUAGUUGAUAAAUUCUGUAUGUGUUAUGUGUUUGUGUAUACAUAUGUACAUAUUAAUGAUGUGGGUGUUGAUACUGUGAUCACAUGACAAAUGACUGGUUUAUAGUGAAAAGCUGUUGGGGUUCAGAGAAAUGAACAUUCUUCUAAAAGUGAGGUAGAUAAGUUAUUUUAUAGUUCUUGCCUUUGAGUCUCUGUUCUUCUGGUAGAAAUGUUAGUGUAUUUAUAACCUCUCAGAUUUGUUUGGUUCUCUUAGUGUUCUUGAUCCAGGCAGUUAGCGAUAUGUUGGAUGAAUUGAGAAAAAUGAGUUUUUCCUUUCCUACUAACUGAAUUAGAUUAGAAAUAAGCAGUUAAGUGAGAAAAAUAGGGAAUUAGUGCCAGAUAUGUUGAGGUGUAGUGUUGACAGGGGGUCUUUUACCUUCAGAUGUUUGGUGCAACUUAGAGAAUGCAGUGGUAGUUGCUGGCCCAGCCCAUCCAAACAACCUCAUUUGUGGGGUGAUACUUCACAGAUGACUUAAAAUAAAUCCCCUGAAAAUAAGAAUCUCUGGAAGAGAUGACACGUGUAUGUGCGUGUGUGCACGUGUGUGCGUGUGUGCACGUGUGUGUGUGUGUGUGUUUUGGUGGAGUGGUAGGAGGAGGGUUGGCUUAAUGAUGAGAAUCAUUAUUUCUUGAAUUGGAUGACACUUUCCAUUCCUGCAAAGGGAGCGUGAGGUCCAGCCUUGCUAAUUCAUGAUCAAAGUAAUUUGCUGAGAGUAGUGGAAGGAAUGAGUUAGCAGAAGAUGGCAAAUUGCAUUAAUGAGUAGUAGGAGGAAAACAAAUAAGCAAAUUUUAAUGUGGUUGGAACAUGUUCCUGAGUUGUAUGAAGGGAGACAGGUAAAUUGAGAGUAAUGUUAUGAUUGUUUCAUUUGUUGGAAAUAAGGAAAACUUGCAUGGUUUGAAUUGUGGAACAAUAGGUGGUGUAUGUUAGGAGUCAGAAUUAUCAUUUAACAUGUAAGUUUCUGUUUUACUUCAGAUAAAGAAUGUCAGCUACCUUUCCCAUGUUAGCUUCUAUACCUUUUCUUGAGGUGACCAUAAAUAGGUAAUAUUGUCUUUCACUGAGAUUGUUUUAAUUAGCGAAGUGUGCUGAUUAAAUGUCUUUUCUUGAUAAAUUAUUAGAAUGAAUAAAGGAUGGUAUUUCUAGAUAGCCUUGGUUAGUCAGUGAUUUGUUUAAAUUUAGUGUGGAUAAGAAUCACCUGAGGGCUUUUUAAACACAGUUUACUGGGUCCUGACCUUAGUGUUUCUGGCUUAUUAGGUAUAAGUAUGAGAAGUUGAUUUUUAUCAAGUUUCUAGAUGCUACAGAUCUAGGAACCAUACUUAGAGUGCUAUUAUAUGUCUUUUAAUGUACACUGAUAUGGAAAAAGCAAUGAUACAUCAUGUUAUCGCAUAUUUUAAAAUGUGAUCAUGACCAGGGAAUCUUGAAAGUUGUCUUAUGUAAUAAUGUAAAUCAAUGUAGAAUACCAUAUAUUUUUUUCUUGCAAGGUUAUUAUUAAUAGGAAUGACUAUUUGUAGCCAAUGUGUUCAAAUGCAUGGGAGGACGUAAACACUUCAUAAUUUCCUGGAAAUACAGACAUAUAUCACUUAAAAUAAUACAUUUCUAAUAUAAAUUUAAAUUAUCUACGUGAUAUGAGGAAACGAGCUUAUUUUUGAUAAUUUUCCUAGCAGUGAAUCAACUAUACUCAUUUGAAUCUAAAUUAAAUUAAAUUUGAGUAAAUUCAGCCAUUUCUAAAUUCAGUCCAUAUAAAUUCACUUUGGGUAAAAGAAGACAAAAUUCCUGAAAACAGUAGAUUAAAAAAAUAACAUUUUAAGAGCAGGUAUGAUCUCAAUGAAUAUAGUGUGGUAAUUUCUGCCUAAUACCUACCCUUUUGGAGGAAGGAAAGGUAAUCCUGUUUGUGUUUAAUGUUAAUUACUGAACUCUUUAUAACUUGUUUUAUUUAUUUAUUGUUUGAUUUUAAGCAUCUGCUUCUGGUGGACUUACAUAUGUUGGGUUUGGGAAAUUUCAACAUACAGGUUGGCAUUCCAGUGGCUAUAGUUGUUUCUUGAAAUUUAGUACUGUUUUCCAAUGAUGAUUCUCUUUGGGAAUAGGCUGUUCUCUUUUACUUAAAAACUGUAAAAUUAGCCACUUCAGUUGAGACUCCUCCAGGUUUGGAAGUGGUGAAGAAUAUGGAUAUAUUCAGAUCAAAUCAGUCAUUCUCUGUGAUACAGCAACUGAACAAGAAACCCAGACUUCAAACAAGCAGACUUCUUUGGGUUGGACUGAAUAAAAUGAGAAGAAAUUACAGAGGAUUUGAAAAUGUAUAUGGCCUAGGAAUUAUUGAAAUUAUUUUGGAGGGUGGCAACAAAUUUGGGACAUUGUACUUUCUGUUUUAAUGUCAAUUGUAUAAUGUGUAACUCUAGUGAGCAUGGCUGGAUACCGUGGCUUCACAUUUUAGGUAGACUGGGUGUUUUAUCUACUGAGUGAAUUACAGCCUUCGGCAAUGAUGUCAAGGUAGCAACAAAACCCAAAAAAUCCAUCCUUUAGAAAUUGUUUUAAGUCACAAUGAUGAUACCUUCUUUAAAAGCUUUGACUUACUGAAAUAAUGCUUUUCAUUUGUCCAAGAUGAGUACAUAGCAGAAUUUGGAAAUAUGGUUCCAAAAGGCUAAAUAGACUGACUUUUUUGAUAUUUUUCCCUUAUAGGGAGAAAGAAACAUUAACGGUUUAUCAGAUGCCUUGACUGUACUUUUUACUGCUUUGUCUUCAAGGCCUAGUGUAAUAAUUAACAUCUAGUAUGUGUUUGAUGGAUAGCCAAUUUUUGCUUCAUUGGUAUGUUGUUACCACAGUCAUUGGUAGAGUCAAUAUAUGAAUGAAGAAAGUAUAACAAAUUUGCCCUCUAGUAGAGUACAGGCAAAGUAUGGCCGUCAGUUUCACCCUGAUUUUUUUUCCUCCAUUCUUUUUUAGGGUUUAGGUCAAGAACAAGGGCAUUUCAUUGUACCACAUAGCUGAGAGUAGGGAAUUGGGACAUACUGUCUUGCUUUAAAUUAAAGUUGUCUGUUUCAUCAAGUAGAGAGGUUCCUAAGAUAUUGCCAGAUUUCUGACUCGGGGUUUGUUAAAAAUAGAAAAGGUAGUUCCUUAAGGUUGUAUUUUAUUGGAUGCCUCCACCUGCUUCAGGCUAGCUCACUGGAGAAUAAAUAUUCCAGGUUAAAAAAAAAAAAGCAUGUGUUCACGUGAACUUGUCCUUUGAGCAAACCUGUUGGAAAUCAAGAGGUCAUUGCUGUUGGAGAGGAUAAGAGGGUGUACUUGUUGGUGUGUUAAGAGUAGUUCACAACAUAAAAAUAAAUGUAAAUGCAUCUAUUAUAUUUGGGUUGGCAAAAUAUAUUGGUUAUUUACUCUGUUGAUUCCUGUAGUGUACAUAAAUAUGAUCUACAACUCUGUGAACAAAAAGGCUUGAAAAAUUGUUCUGAAAAUGGACAAAUCAUGAACAGAUAAUUGAACAAGAAAAUAAGCAGAAAGUAAAUUUGUGAAAUAUUUCAAACUCAUUUACAUUCAGAAACAUCUUUUUAAGAUCACUGUGAUACAUUCGACUGUCAAUUCUGAAGAGACGUAUAAAGGAAAUGCCAGCUAAGGAGCAAGGAAACAGCUUUCAUUCAUGGGCUAAAUUGCAGCUUAAAAAAGAUGGACCAGGAUUAUUUCCUUUAGAAACUUACUGUACAAAAGAUACUGUUCACCCCAUUAGAGAACUGAUUUGAAGUUACUCUUCCCUGUGAGGGCUCUGUCAUCUUAACUGUAUUCACAUACUUUCAACUGUUCCCCUUGCUGCUAACCUCAGGUUCUUUAGUUCAUCUAUCUGGCAGAGCUGAUUUGGGGAAAACAAGACAAACCUUCUCAGGUUUUCUUAAUAAAUAAGCAGUUGUCAUGUUUCAAGAGUUUUAGAAAUGAGCAAUAAUCAAGGAAGAGGACAACGAUUGCAUACGUUUAUAAUAUUUAGAACAUCUUUUGCCACAAUAAACACUGGAAACCACCCACUUGUGGACACCAAACAUUUGGAUUUGUAUAUUUUGUGGCAUUCCCUCACUCUAAUCCUCUCAUCCUUAAAAAUUUUCAGAAAUUUUUGCAGCAACAAACACUGAUUGCAACAUAUGAUUUAGGGUAGAUUUAUGAACCAUUUUUUCACUGAAAUACAUCAACAGGAGUGAGUAGUCUGAGUGACCACCCCAGCAUGGAGAAAACUGUAGUUUACAGAUUCUUCUGGAGCAUUUUUAUUUCUAGAUUGCGGUGGAAGUCUAACCCCCCUUGGAGAUGUCUGCCUUAAAGGGUCUUUGGCCAGGGUCCUCUGUAGAGCCAUAGUCCAGAUCUACUCUAUUUGUGUGCUCCUUACAACAUCAGAACAGCAACUCUCAAUCCGGAUUCAUCCCCAGAAUGCCGUCUGAGUCACAGCGUGGCAGGUGCAUAAAGAAUUAUCUACUGAAUUGAGAAACAUUUCAAAUAUAUAAAACUUGAAAUAUUUUGGGUAGUCUGUACAAACUCAAGUUGACAAGCCAACCCUGCAGGAAUAUAUGGAUAGAAGGGGAAGGAUAACAUGUUGAAUUCAGCUACAUGCCUCAUCAGCUAGAAAACCUUGGAAGAAAGAAAGAUAGAUUGAUACUUGCCUGAACUUCAUCAACCAAUAAUAUUUUUUUUCUUGCUAUGGAGAGUCCACUCGCCUUUGGAAGAUUUACCAGUAAAAGCCCUGCACAUGAUAUACUUGUGUGCACAUGCAAUAAGGACAUCAUUCCCCAACUCCUGCUAGCAUUGUGAAAGAGCUCCAAAUAUUCAAAUAAUAUAAACUUUUUUUCGUGGACAUUUAGCUUACGAGUUUGUUUAAAUAUGUGGGAAAAUUAUGUUUAGAUAAUAGUAUUGAAAUGAGAAUGUAAGAUACACAUUGAAUGAUAAAUGUGUAUGAAUUGUUCAUUGUGCCUUAGGUAAGCCAGACAGUGAAAUUAAAUGUGUAAUAGUUGUAUUUUUUUGCAUAAUCUUGGAAUGUAAUUAGUUAAAAGCAAACACUUAGAUUUUGAACAUGAAUCUGUUAAGCUUGUUAAUGUAGUUGCUGUGGCUAAAUAACUGGUUUCCUGGGGAAGCUUCUAUUUGCUAGAAUUUUAUUCUGGAACAGUUGUUAGAAAGGAAUUCUCAGGUCACCUUUUAAAGAUAUACACAAUUCUGUAUUCACUUUUUGAGUGCAUAAGGGUAAUAGAAAAUGACAUGGGAAGCGUUAAUUAGAAAAAAAGGCAUUUUGUUUAUGUGCAUUUGAGGAUACAGUGUUUGAAGUUUCUAAAUAAUUGUUUUAUGACAUUUUCUUGGUACAUAGAUAUUGCUAACAAUUAGUUUGCUGAAGUAUGUAGAAACAUUUUAAGAAAUGAUUUUAGAAAUAUAAUUGUUAAAGUACCUCUGAUGUAUAUUAAAAAUCCUUUUAUUUUGGUUUAUAUUGCUAUGGAUGUUUUUCUGGGGGAACUUAAUGUAUACAACUUCUAACUAAGAAGUUUUAUUAAUGCUGCUUUAUGUAUGAAAGUCAUGGAUGUGGAUGUUAUUUUGUCAGUGGUCUUUCUGUUAAAAUUUACGUGGUGUAAGAUUUUCUUUUCAUGAUGGAAUUGCCAAAAAGGCCAGCCUCUAGAACACUUACAUGUUAAGGGUUGGGUGGGAUUUGUAUUACUUUGUGUAUAUAACCGACAGGAUUGUGUUACUGAAUCUUAACCAGCAUAGAGAUGGCUGACAUUUUGCAUUUUGGGGGACAUUAAAUUGUUACACAAUGAUGUCAUUGGUUACUGAUAGGAGUGUUUAGACUCUUAGAUGGCUUUGUUAGUAUUAGGCAAAUAUUAGAUGUGGAUUUAGGAGAUAAGAGGGUGGGGUGUUGGAGCCCUGUGUGCACAUGAGCAUAUGUUGCAGGGCCUCCAGACCUAAAUCCACGUGAAGAUGGUGGUGGUGGUCUUACCUAUAUGUUAACAUUACAUUGUAAACAGGUAGACUACUUUCCUUUUGCUAGUGGGAGUGUUAAAUCACCUCUCAGAACAUUAAUUCAUUAAAUUGCCCCUAAACAUUAAUUGAUUGCUGGUGGAUAUGCUAAAUAUUUUUAACAUCUAUUUUUCUAAAUGUAUAGAUGUCAUUUUUAAUUCAUAGGGGAUAGAACCAGUUUUGCUUGCAAAAAGCAAACUGUUCACUGGAUCAUUGGGCUUAAUUUUUAGGUUGUGGUAGAUAUAAUAGAAAUGUUCUUACAAUUUGUAGUAUAAUACUGUAUAUCUCUAUAAAUAUAUAUGUGACUGUUUUUCUGAUAGAUGCAACAUGGUGGAAAUGUCAUCAUAAAUGUCGGUCUGCCUUUGUUUAUAGUUUUCAGAUGUGUAUAUGCAGUUUUUUAUACAACAGAAAAAUUGCCACAUGAGUCAAAUAGCAUAGGUUAGAAAAGUUCUCAUUUGCCAAAAAUAUGUGACUUUCAUAAUAGUGAGUUGUUUUUGAUUUAAAAUGUUUCUAUCUGUAGAGGCAUUUUAUAAGUUUUUAUGGGGAUACUAGCAAUGGGAUGUGAAACCUGAGUUCAUUAGAUCAUUGGGUGAUAAUGGAACCCUUAUGUGUAUACAAUAUACAUGGUUAUAUGUUUUUUAAAGCAUAGGAGCUAUUAUGUCUGCAUGGUUCUAAAUAUAUAUACACACACGUAAACACAUAUCUAUAUAUCUAUCUAUAUAGAUAGAUAGAUAAAUACAUACAUAUGUAGUGAAAGCUUUUGUUUCCUCCCUCACAUAGGCAGAUUAUUUGUGUGUGUAAAUGAGCAGCUGAAGGGGAAUUUUGUUACAUGUGUAUAAGACAGUCACAAUAUAUAAUUGUUUUGCUUUAAUUGUUUAGUCUUUGAUUUGUAGGAAUUGCCAACACGUAUAUUUGUGUGUAUGCAGGUUUAUAUAUAAAUACAUAUCACUGUAUAAACAACAUUUAUUGUCAUAGGAUAGAAAUAUUCUUAAGUUGCCAGAGAUACUGUAUGGCUGCUAAAUGUAUAGUAGAAAAAUGUUACCUUUUGCUUUUUAGCAUCUGCAUACAGAUUACUAAUAGGCGUAUAUUGUGACCAGUAAACCACUAGACAAGGGCAUAAACACUUUAGUUUGAUCAGUAGAAUUGCUAUGCCAUGUUUAAAUGGGAUUUAUUUGGUUGAUGCAGAAUAUAUAAUUGUAUCUAGAAGAUAAAUAUUACAAAAAUAUUUUAAUAUACAAUUUCUGUCAUAUUUUUGGAAAUAUAUUUUUAUUCAAAAGUAGAAUCAUUGUUGCCAAUAGAGUUAGCAUCUUUGUGUGCUUGUGAGGUUUGAUUUUGAGGGUUUUCUUGGUUUUGUUUUGGGUUCUGGAGUUCUAAAAAAUGAGAUUGUCUUUGUCUAAACAAUUUUUAUAUAAAAAUGUACAUUUUUGUAUUAUUUUUUCUUAUUCCAACCUAAUCGGUGGCUUGUCCCUUCCUGUGUUUAUUGGGCUGUUGGGUGCCUGGAUAGAGCUGGAGACCAUUUAACUGCUGUAUGAAUAAUAGAUAAGCGUCUUGAAUAACAUCUGAAUUUCCUAGUUGUCAUGUCAACCCUCCUAUCUGCGGGUUUUGCAUCUGCAAGCACAUGCAGCUGGAAAGUACAGCAUUGGCAGAAUCUGAAACCCGAGUAAAGAGCACCUCAUUUUCAUAACCAUGGGUUCUGAAGAGCUAAGGGAGUUGAGGAUGCACCGAUUUUGGUAUGGGGGUACGGUACAGGUACAAAUCCCCGAUGGAUAUCACUAGACAACUGUACAAUCCUCUUUAGCUUUUUUUUUGUUUUAUAGACAGUGUGGACGUGCAUAUAUUGCAAGCAUCACUUUGUUAAACUAUGCUUAACCCUGCAAAUGAUUUUAAGAGCUCUGUGUGGGUGGCUUUCUUGGGUUUACUAUUAAAUAUCUGUGUUUAUCAUAGUUGUUCUAUAACAUUUCAACUUUGUAAAUAUGUAGUUUGUUGAUAAAGAGGAUAGAGACAUUUUUCUUUUGUUGAUAGAUUGUUCUUUCCCCUUUGCUUAGUCUUCAUUGUGUUGCUGGGAUUGUAAAAGACAAAUUACUUGCACAUAUUUAAGCUUAUAUAUUAAAUGUAUAUAUGCUGUCAUGUUAGAGAGGGAGAGUGGUUCCCUCCCCCACAUUUUGAUUUAAAAGUAAAAAUUAAUUUUUAUUAAAUUGUUUGGGUCAGUUUCAUGUAAGAAUAAUCUCUACAUUGAAUGGUAUAUCUUGGCCGGGUGCGGAGGCUCACGCCUGUAAUCCCAGCACUUUGGGAGGCCGAAGGGGCCAGAUCACGAGGUCAGGAGUUCGAAACCAGCCUGGCCAAUAUGGUGAAACCCCGUCUCUACUAAAAAUACAAAAACUAGCCGGCCGUGGUAGUGCACAUCUGUAAUCCCAGCUACUCGGCAGUCUGAGGCAGAAGAAUAGCUUGAACCCAGGAGGCAGAAGUUGCAGUGAGCCAAGAUCGCGCCACUGCACUCCAGCCUGGGCGACAGAGUGAGACUCCCUCUCAAAAAAAAAAAGGUAUAUCUUAUUUUCUUUGAUGUACUGAGGUUCAUGAUGCAAUUCAUUCUUAAGCAUAUACUAUAGAAUCUUUAAAUUAUAUGGUUCUGUGUUCAUUUGUGGCAUGACAGUAACCAAGACAAUUUAGUAAAUAAUCAGCAAAUGAAAUAUUUAAUUUUGAACAUCUAGUAUUUCUAGAUGUAUAGAGAGUCUCACGAAGUAGAUUUUUUAAGUAUCUUGUUGUAAAUUUGUUAGUACUGUUGUCUUUUGCAAUUAAUGUGGCAAUGAAAUUGAUUAUUGAUACACAGGCUCUUGGAGCUAAACAAAAUUUAUCGUGUUUUAAUUUGGAUAUUAGAAGGAGGAAAUGAAAAGAGACUCUCUACAUUUUACCUGUUAUUAUAUAGCUUACCAUUAUAUCAGAUAUGAAUUGCUUUUUUUAAAAAACUUAGAUUAAAUGUCAUGUAAAUGCAUUUAGUCUUUCCAGAUACACUUCUUGAUAUCAUAAUUUUUAUUUCCUGUUAAUAUUCAAGAUAUAAAUGACUUCAUUAAAGAGAUUUUCUACUACCUCUAGGAACUAUACAAUAUUCUGUAUGUGUUCCCUUGGUUGCAUGACAAUAUUCAAGACAACUUUGUAAAUAAUAGAUAAAAAAUUUUAAUUUUUAACAUCUAGUCUUUCUAGAUGUAUAGAGUCUCACAAAGUAUAAUUUUGUAAAUAAGUCAUUGUAAAAUUUCAUGGUUUCAUUGUGUUUUGCAAAUGUCUUGGCAAAGAACUUGAUAAAAUUUUGGGCUUCUUGACCUAUACAUAUUUUGGUAUCUCUUUAUUGGGUUGUUUAGUGUAAGGAAAAAGUUGAAAGAAUGUAUUUUCAACUUUGAAUUGUAAUCAGAAAGAAAAUAUAUUUUAACCAUUGUUUAGUGCUUCUGUUAUAUAUUGAAAACUUCAGUCUUAAUUUUUUAGUUACAUUGUUGAUAGGGCAUUAUAUAAAUAUACUUCUAUAGUCAUUGUAGGAAAUGUCUUUUAUAAGGAAAUAUUUCUUCUACCUCUGAAUUACACAGUUUUGUAUUUACUUGGACUGCAUGGCAACAUUCAAAAAACACUUUGAAUAACAGAUAAAAAUGACAUUUUCUAAAGCUCUAGGUUUGCUAGAUGCAUGAAGUCUCAGCAAAGUAUAAAUUUGUAAAUAUUUCAUUGUAAAAUAUCAUAAAUUGACUCCUUCAAGUGUUCAGUAGUACAAUAGGUAAUCAAUAAUUGGCCUCUUGGGACUGACUGUAACGUUUUGGUGUUUGUAUGUUUUGAGACAGAGCAAUAGAUUGCCUCCAUAUCUUUUAAACAUUCAGGUCUCUUGUAUAAGAAAAAUAACCAUUGUGGGGUUUUUGUGCAUCUUAUACUAAUAUGAAACAAACAAAACCCCCUGGAUAUUUUAUCCUUAGAAAGAUAGAGGAAGACAGGAGAAGGGAAUGGUCAUUGUAAAUUAGAUAGAUAUAUUGAGUGUUAGAAGAUUAUUUAAAUAAUUGUUCUUUUGUUAUUUGUACUCUUUGCAAAUUUAUUUAAAUGCAUAUUCAUGUAUAUCAUAAGUAUAUAUUCACAUGCAUGUCUAAAUUUAGUGGCAUAGAUCUAUCUCAGGGGUAUUAAUCUUUCAUUCGUGUACUGAUUUGUGUUUUAUUUUCAUUUAAAAAAUUGUGGAACCAGUGGCUGGGCAUGGUGGCUCAUGCCUGUAAUCCCAGCACUUUGGGAGGCUGAGGCGGGUGGAUCACCUGAGGGUCAGGAGUUCGAGACCAGCCUGGCCAACAUGGUGAACCCCCCCGUCUCUACUAAAACUACAAAAAUUAGCUGGGCAUGGUGGUAGAUGCCUGUAAUCCCAGCUACUCGGGAGGCUGAGACAGGAGAAUUGCUUGAACCCUGGAGGUGGAGGUUGCAGUGAGCCGAGAUUGCACCAUUGCACUCCACCCUAGGCAACAAGAGCAAAACUCUGUAUAAAAAAAAAAAUUAAAAAAAUUGUGGAACUAGUGUUUUAUUUCUAAGCUUGCAGAUAUUUCUAGAAUUCCACUUACUGUUACAUCUAAAUGUAUGCUGAUUUUUCGUUAAAUAAUAAGCAGGUCUGUAAACAUUUUCUUUUCUAACCUCUUUCCAUAUUUAUAUGAGUAUAGAAAAACUGUGGUUAUGAAUAUUUUUUACUUUUUGAUAACUUUUAAAAACUAUCAGAUAUGUGAUAAUCAGAUAGAUUUCAAGUUUACUUACGGUGUAAAUUAGGAAAAUUUUUAUAAAGAUUCUAUCCAGUAUUGAUCAAAAGUAUAAAUUGUGUGUCUUUUUAAGCAGCAGUUUGGCAAUGACAAUCAAAUUGAUACUAUGUAAAAGUUUUGAAAUGUUAUAGCUGGCUACUGGGGUUUUUAUCUAUUCCAGUUCUCGAAAAUUUACCAAAUAUAGGUUGGCUGUAAAAUCAUAACUAUCUGAGGUAUCUGUCAAUAAAUCAAAGAUUGCAAUGAUGAUAGCUUCUUUAACAUGAAUGUAAUUCUAACAGUAAAAAAUUUCUAUAUGGAAUAUGUUUUGUAGUCCUAAAUUGAUAUUUUAUAUCAUUUUUCAGUGAACAAGUAGUUGUUUACAGGUGUCUGUGCAUAUGUCUCAAGUUUUUCUAACUAAAAUAUUAAUAGUUAAGUCUAAAAAUAUGAAUUAUACGUGGGGCUUGUCAUUCUGACAUUUAAUACUUCAGCGUGGUGAUAAUGGUGAUAUAAUAUACUGUUUGAAAUUGUAACACAUGAGUUAAAAUCAAAAGAUUGAUAAGUACAUAUUUGUAUAUUGCUACAUGACAAAAAUCUAGGAAGAAUAUGAUUCACAUGAAAAUUCUUUGGAAGGACAUGACAGACUUUUAACAGUCCUGUAUAGUGAAAGGAGAAUAGAACGACUACUUCUACUUUCUGUAUCUGAAAUUUUCAAAAGCUAUUUCAAAAUGAACAUUUAAACAACAGGAAAUUUUAGAGACAACCACUUUGUGCCUGUCUUCAUCCUUGACAUUCAACAUCCUAGGAACAAUGGGCUGUUGUAUUCAACUUCUUAUUCCCAACAGCCAUUAUGAAUGGUUUUUGAUUGAUCUCACAAAGAGCAUGUGCUUUAGACAUUAAUGCAGCGACUACCAUGAAACAGAGUAUUGGAUUACCUAAGGAAAGAAGCAGAGGAUGGAAUUUGAGGUAGGUGUCAAACAGUGAAAUUUCGUUUGAGAAACAGAUGAGUGAAAGAAAAUAGUAA
This 13183-nucleotide long non-coding RNA is filed under the name Homo sapiens (human). RNAcentral describes it as "non-protein coding lnc-SNRPN-1:11". The stretch from base 2072 to 2142 matches the Rfam family "Small nucleolar RNA SNORD108". The record is from RNAcentral. Lineage: Eukaryota; Metazoa; Chordata; Mammalia; Primates; Hominidae.